This is a long non-coding RNA of Lagopus leucura (white-tailed ptarmigan), 100 nucleotides long. RefSeq lists it as uncharacterized. The record is from RefSeq and is a predicted model, not a curated record. NCBI's taxonomy places the organism in Eukaryota, Metazoa, Chordata, Aves, Galliformes, Phasianidae. The transcript has 3 exons.
CUUGUUGGAGUUUUCCCCUGUGAACCUGGGAUCUUCUGAUGUGGAGCAGCGCAGUAAACAGAUUCCAGUUUCCACAGGGGAGGGCUGUAUUGCACCAAUC